Molecule: ribosomal RNA, 459 nt
Filed under: uncultured bacterium
Lineage: Bacteria
Description: partial 16S ribosomal RNA
Rfam family: Bacterial small subunit ribosomal RNA
Source: RNAcentral
CCUACGGGAGGCAGCAGUGAGGAAUAUUGGUCAAUGGCCGAGAGGCUGAACCAGCCAAGUCGCGUGAGGGAAGACGGCCCUACGGGUUGUAAACCUCUUUUGUCGGGGAGCAAAGCGAGUCACGUGUGACUCAUUGAGAGUACCCGAAGAAAAAGCAUCGGCUAACUCCGUGCCAGCAGCCGCGGUAGUACGGAGGAUGCGAGCGUUAUCCGGAUUUAUUGGGUUUAAAGGGUGCGCAGGCGGAGGUGCAAGUCAGCGGUCAAAUUGCGGGGCUCAACCCCGUACUGCCGUUGAAACUGCAGCCCUUGAGUGCGCGAGAAGUAUGCGGAAUGCGUGGUGUAGCGGUGAAAUGCAUAGAUAUCACGCAGAACUCCGAUUGCGAAGGCAGUAUACCGGCGCGCAACUGACGCUCAUGCACGAAAGCGUGGGUAUCGAACAGGAUUAGAUACCCUUGUAGUC